UGCAAAAUGAACAAAACGGUGUUGCCACUGAGUGAAAAGGACUCUCUCUCACAGCAUUUUUCACAUGUCUGAGUCAGAUCCCUACCAUGAGAAAAAAAAUUUUCAGGAAAACUGUGGAAACACAAUGCCGAUAAUAUCGCCCAUGCUUCAAAAAGAUCGACUUCAGCAGAGAAAUAAUGACUUGAGUGUCUGAGAAGAGGGAUCUCCUACUUUUAAAUAGUCUCCUCUUAAAUUCAAGUCAGUUAAUAAAAUAAGGAAACACUGACCUCCAAAAAUGGCCUAGGGGAAAUCACCCUUUACGCUGCACUAGGCAACGGGAAGGAGGAGCAACAUCUACAUACGCGGCAUGGAGUCCACCGAGGAGGAGCAAGCAGAGGCAAGCUGAAAUCAUGUGGAAGAAAUCUCCAA
Molecule: long non-coding RNA, 408 nt
Organism: Bubalus bubalis (water buffalo)
Lineage: Eukaryota; Metazoa; Chordata; Mammalia; Artiodactyla; Bovidae
Exons: 3
Source: RefSeq, a predicted model, not a curated record